This 301-nucleotide unclassified non-coding RNA is filed under the name Hevea brasiliensis (rubber tree). The record is from RNAcentral. Lineage: Eukaryota; Viridiplantae; Streptophyta; Magnoliopsida; Malpighiales; Euphorbiaceae.
GGAAAAAAAAACCCACAUUUACUAUAGGUGAGCCAUUGUUCCUAUGCUUCUUUGUAAGGUUGGUACUGGAAUUAAGCUUAGGUGAACUGAGUUGGUUCUCAGUACCUUAUUCUUUUAAUUUCCACCCCCCUCCCUCCCUCUCAAUAUUGUUAUUUUGGCAUUAUAAAUUCAUAUUCUGAAAUUGACCCUCCUAAACAUCUUUAGAUCACCCCUACAAACACAUAACCCAAGAAUGAAUUAUUUCAGACAACACAGUAUUGGAAGAAGAUUCAACUUAUGAAUUAUAUUCAUUAUAGAAUUA